UGGGGAAUCUUCCGCAAUGGACGAAAGUCUGACGGAGCAACGCCGCGUGAGUGAAGAAGGUUUUCGGAUCGUAAAACUCUGUCUUUUGGGGCGAACGUGAGUAUGGUGAACAAUCAUAGUCAGUGACGGUACCAAAGGAGGAAGCCACGGCUAACUACGUGCCAGCAGCCGCGGUAAUACGUAGGUGGCAAGCGUUGUCCGGAAUUAUUGGGCGUAAAGAGCACGUAGGCGGGAUAGUCAGUCUGUUGUAAAAGUGCGGGGCUCAACCCCGUGAUGGCAAUGGAAACAGCUAUCCUUGAGUGCAGGAGAGGAAAGUGGAAUUCCCAGUGUAGCGGUGAAAUGCGUAGAUAUUGGGAGGAACACCAGUGGCGAAGGCGACUUUCUGGACUGUGUCUGACGCUGAGGCGCGAAAGCCAGGGGAGCGAACGGGAUUAGAUACCCCGGUAGUCCUGGCCGUAAACGAUGGGUACUAGGUGUGGGAGGUAUCGACCCCCUUCCGUGCCGGAGUUAACGCGAUAAGUACCCCGCCUGGGGAGUACGGUCGCAAGACUGAAACUC
RNAcentral lists this ribosomal RNA (558 nucleotides) under uncultured bacterium. RNAcentral's name for it is "partial 16S ribosomal RNA". It matches the Rfam family "Bacterial small subunit ribosomal RNA", at positions 355 to 902 of the family's 1533-position model. The record is from RNAcentral.